ACGCUGGCGGCGUGCUUAACACAUGCAAGUCGAACGAUGAAGCCCAGGCUUGGCUGGGUGGAUUAGUGGCGAACGGGUGAGUAACACGUGGGUGAUCUGCCCUGCACUCUGGGAUAAGCCUGGGAAACUGGGUCUAAUACCGGAUAUGACCUCUUGCUGCAUGGCGAGGGGUGGAAAGUUUUUCGGUGCAGGAUGAGCCCGCGGCCUAUCAGCUUGUUGGUGGGGUAAUGGCCUACCAAGGCGACGACGGGUAGCCGGCCUGAGAGGGCGACCGGCCACACUGGGACUGAGACACGGCCCAGACUCCUACGGGAGGCAGCAGUGGGGAAUAUUGCACAAUGGGCGAAAGCCUGAUGCAGCGACGCCGCGUGAGGGAUGACGGCCUUCGGGUUGUAAACCUCUUUCAGCAGGGACGAAGCGAAAGUGACGGUACCUGCAGAAGAAGCACCGGCCAACUACGUG
RNAcentral lists this ribosomal RNA (462 nucleotides) under uncultured bacterium. RNAcentral describes it as "bacterial SSU rRNA". It matches the Rfam family "Bacterial small subunit ribosomal RNA", at positions 33 to 507 of the family's 1533-position model. The record is from RNAcentral.